UAUUAUCACUCAACAACCUCC
Molecule: non-coding RNA, 21 nt
Filed under: Arabidopsis thaliana (thale cress)
Lineage: Eukaryota; Viridiplantae; Streptophyta; Magnoliopsida; Brassicales; Brassicaceae
Source: RNAcentral